Molecule: non-coding RNA, 89 nt
Organism: Acanthosepion pharaonis
Lineage: Eukaryota; Metazoa; Mollusca; Cephalopoda; Sepiida; Sepiidae
Source: the annotation of a GenBank genome assembly
AGGUUGAAACAUCGGUUCCCGUACGAUCACCGAAGUUAAGCAACGUCGAGCCUGGCAACUACCUAGAUGCGUGAUCACUUGAGAAUCUC